GGGUCAGUAGGUUGGUCGUGCCACCGGUACGUACUGGUCUCACUGAUUCCUCCUUCCUGAAGAACCGUAAUGCCAUUAAUUUGGUGUUGCGGGGAAACAGGACUGUUACUUUGAAAAAAUUAGAGAGGUUAAAGCAAGCUAACGCUUGAAUACAUUAGCAUGGAAUAAUGAAAUAGGACGAUCGAUCCUAUUUUGUUGGUUUCUAGGAUUGACGUA
This 216-nucleotide ribosomal RNA is filed under the name Glomeromycotina sp. RNAcentral describes it as "partial small subunit ribosomal RNA". The stretch from base 40 to 216 matches the Rfam family "Eukaryotic small subunit ribosomal RNA", at positions 686 to 864 of the family's 1831-position model. The record is from RNAcentral. Lineage: Eukaryota; Fungi; Glomeromycota.